RNAcentral lists this ribosomal RNA (490 nucleotides) under uncultured bacterium. RNAcentral describes it as "partial 16S ribosomal RNA". It matches the Rfam family "Bacterial small subunit ribosomal RNA", at positions 28 to 507 of the family's 1533-position model. The record is from RNAcentral.
GAUGAACGCUCGCGAUAGGCUUAACACAUGCAAGUCGAGGGGCAGCAUGGUCUUAGCUUGCUAAGACUGAUGGCGACCGGCGCACGGGUGCGUAACGCGUAUGCAACUUGCCUCACAGAGGGGGAUAACCCGUCGAAAGACGGACUAAUACCGCGUACACUUGGGAUAGGGCAUCCUGACCCAAGGAAAUGAAAUUCGCUGUGAGAUAGGCAUGCGUCCCAUUAGCUAGUUGGUGAGGUAACGGCUCACCAAGGCGACGAUGGGUAGGGGAACUGAGAGGUUGAACCCCCACACUGGUACUGAGACACGGACCAGACUCCUACGGGAGGCAGCAGUGAGGAAUAUUGGUCAAUGGGCGAGAGCCUGAACCAGCCAAGUCGCGUGAAGGAUGACUGUCUUAUGGAUUGUAAACUUCUUUUAUACGGGAAUAACAAGAGUCACGUGUGGCUCCCUGCAUGUACCGUAUGAAUAAGCAUCGGCUAACUCCGUG